GGCUGGUCCGGUGGGAUAUCAGAACUUAUUAGUGUCACUAAAGUUGGUAGACAAUCCCCCACUGCUAAAUUUGACUGGCUUAA
RNAcentral lists this small RNA (83 nucleotides) under Aotus nancymaae (Ma's night monkey). Its description in RNAcentral is "Y RNA (ENSANAG00000012823.1)". The record is from RNAcentral. Lineage: Eukaryota; Metazoa; Chordata; Mammalia; Primates; Aotidae.